AUAUUUACCUGGUAGUGAAGAUACUGUGAUCAGGUGGCUUUUCCAGGGUGAGGCUUAUUGAUUGCAUUCCAGAUGUGCUGACCCCUGUGAUCUCCCCAAAUGAGGGAAAUUUAACUGCAUCAUUUGUGGUAGUUGGAGGCUGUAUUCGCACUGUCUCUGA
This is a small nuclear RNA of Sorex araneus (European shrew), 160 nucleotides long. Its record names the gene U1. It matches the Rfam family "U1 spliceosomal RNA". Rfam says of the family: U1 is a small nuclear RNA (snRNA) component of the spliceosome (involved in pre-mRNA splicing). Its 5' end forms complementary base pairs with the 5' splice junction, thus defining the 5' donor site of an intron. Lineage: Eukaryota; Metazoa; Chordata; Mammalia; Eulipotyphla; Soricidae. The record is from Ensembl.